GAGAUCCAUUGAGAUCCAUAGAAACCCAUAGAGAUCCAUGGAGACCCAUAGAAGCGCCAGCCCCAUAGAGACCCCAUAGAGACCCCAUAGAAUCCCCAUAGAGAUCCCAUAGCCACCCCAUAACCACCCUGCAACCGCCCCAUAGCCGCCCCAUAGAGAACCUACACUGACCCCAUAAAAACCCCAUAGGGAUGCAUUGAGUUCCAUUGAGUUCCAUUGAGAUCCAUAGAAACCCAUAGAGAUCCAUGGAGACCCAUAGAAGCGCCAGCCCCAUAGAGACCCCAUAGAGACCCCAUAGAAUCCCCAUAGAGAUCCCAUAGAGACCCCAUAACCACCCUGCAACCGCCCCAUAGCCGCCCCAUAGAGAACCUACACUGACCCCAUAAAAACCCCAUAGGGAUGCAUUGAACCCCAUUGAGAUCCAUUGAGUUCCAUUGAGUUCCAUUGAGAUCCAUAGAAACCCAUAGAGAUCCAUGGAGACCCAUAGAAGCGCCAGCCCCAUAGAGACCCCAUAGAGACCCCAUAGAGAUCCCAUAGAGAUCCCAUAGAGACCCCAUAGAGGCCCCAUAGAAUCCCCAUAGAGAUCCCAUAGUAACCCCAUAGCCGCCCCAUAGAGACCCCAUAGAGACCCCAUAGAGAUCCCAUAGAGCCCCAUAGAGACCCCAUAGAGACCCCAUAGAGACCCCAUAGAGAUCCCGUAGCCACCCUAUAUCCGCCCCAUAGAGAACCCAUACUGACCCC
Molecule: long non-coding RNA, 741 nt
Organism: Tympanuchus pallidicinctus (lesser prairie-chicken)
Lineage: Eukaryota; Metazoa; Chordata; Aves; Galliformes; Phasianidae
Exons: 3
Source: RefSeq, a predicted model, not a curated record